Long non-coding RNA from Dermochelys coriacea (leatherback sea turtle), 323 nucleotides. RefSeq lists it as uncharacterized. The transcript has 2 exons. The record is from RefSeq and is a predicted model, not a curated record. Lineage: Eukaryota; Metazoa; Chordata; Testudines; Dermochelyidae.
GUUGAGGUCAAAGGUUGAUGACCAACCGUGGAAGGUUAAGCAAAGAGUUGAACAAAGCAAUGUUUGAUCUGAAAAAGGUUUUAAAAGUUCAGUCUCAGGAGGAAAAGUUUGGUCACUUCUCCACAUACACUCCAGGGCUCCCCAAUUCUGGCUGAUAAAACACACAGGAGGAGGGAAGAAACAUCAGGCAAUUGGUUUACAUUCACCAGGUAUAAUUUGUAGGCCUUUUAACUGAGAAUAACUUUCAACAUAACCAAAGGAAGGAACUGGUCAUGGCCACUUCCCCUUAAUUCAUUGGGAAUGUGUAUUUCCUACCAGGACAA